GAUGAACGCUGGCGGCGUGCCUAAUACAUGCAAGUCGAGCGAACAGACGAGGAGCUUGCUCCUCUGACGUUAGCGGCGGACGGGUGAGUAACACGUGGAUAACCUACCUAUAAGACUGGGAUAACUUCGGGAAACCGGAGCUAAUACCGGAUAAUAUAUUGAACCGCAUGGUUCAAUAGUGAAAGACGGUUUUGCUGUCACUUAUAGAUGGAUCCGCGCCGCAUUAGCUAGUUGGUAAGGUAACGGCUUACCAAGGCAACGAUGCGUAGCCGACCUGAGAGGGUGAUAGGCCACAUUGGAACUGAGACACGGUCCAGACUCCUACGGGAGGCAGCAGUAGGGAAUCUUCCGCAAUGGGCGAAAGCCUGACGGAGCAACGCCGCGUGAGUGAUGAAGGUCUUCGGAUCGUAAAACUCUGUUAUUAGGGAAGAACAAAUGUGUAAGUAACUAUGCACGUCUUGACGGUACCUAAUCAGAAAGCCACGGCUAACUACGUG
Molecule: ribosomal RNA, 497 nt
Filed under: uncultured bacterium
Lineage: Bacteria
Description: partial 16S ribosomal RNA
Rfam family: Bacterial small subunit ribosomal RNA
Source: RNAcentral